GAUGAACGCUGGCGGCGUGCCUAAUACAUGCAAGUCGAGCGAACGGACGAGAAGCUUGCGUCUCUGCUGUUAGCGGCGGACGGGUGAGUAACACGUGGAUAACCUACCUAUAAUACUGGGAUAACUUCGGGAAACCGGAGAUAAUACCGGAUGAUAUGUUGAACCGCAUGGUUCAAAAGUGAAAGACGGUCUUGCUGUCACUUAUAGAUGGAUCCGCGCUGCAUUAGCUAGUUGGUAAGGUAACGGCUUACCAAGGCAACGAUGCAUAGCCGACCUGAGAGGGUGAUCGGCCACACUGGAACUGAGACACGGUCCAGACUCCUACGGGAGGCAGCAGUAGGGAAUCUUCCGCAAUGGGCGAAAGCCUGACGGAGCAACGCCGCGUGAGUGAUGAAGGUCUUCGGAUCGUAAAACUCUGUUAUUAGGGAAGAACAUAUGUGUAAGUAACUGUGCACAUCUUGACGGUACCUAAUCAGAAAGCCACGGCUAACUACGUG
Molecule: ribosomal RNA, 497 nt
Filed under: uncultured bacterium
Lineage: Bacteria
Description: partial 16S ribosomal RNA
Rfam family: Bacterial small subunit ribosomal RNA
Source: RNAcentral